RNAcentral lists this ribosomal RNA (718 nucleotides) under uncultured Staphylococcus sp. RNAcentral's name for it is "bacterial SSU rRNA". It matches the Rfam family "Bacterial small subunit ribosomal RNA", at positions 63 to 762 of the family's 1533-position model. Lineage: Bacteria; Bacillati; Bacillota; Bacilli; Caryophanales; Staphylococcaceae. The record is from RNAcentral.
CGAGCGAACAGACGAGGAGCUUGCUCCUCUGACGUUAGCGGCGGACGGGUGAGUAACACGUGGAUAACCUACCUAUAAGACUGGGAUAACUUCGGGAAACCGGAGCUAAUACCGGAUAAUAUAUUGAACCGCAUGGUUCAAUAGUGAAAGACGGUUUUGCUGUCACUUAUAGAUGGAUCCGCGCCGCAUUAGCCUAGUUGGUAAGGUAACGGCUUACCAAGGCAACGAUGCGUAGCCGACCUGAGAGGGUGAUCGGCCACACUGGAACUGAGACACGGUCCAGACUCCUACGGGAGGCAGCAGUAGGGAAUCUUCCGCAAUGGGCGAAAGCCUGACGGAGCAACGCCGCGUGAGUGAUGAAGGUCUUCGGAUCGUAAAACUCUGUUAUUAGGGAAGAACAAAUGUGUAAGUAACUAUGCACGUCUUGACGGUACCUAAUCAGAAAGCCACGGCUAACUACGUGCCAGCAGCCGCGGUAAUACGUAGGUGGCAAGCGUUAUCCGGAAUUAUUGGGCGUAAAGCGCGCGUAGGCGGUUUUUUAAGCCUGAUGUGAAAGCCCACGGCUCAACCGUGGAGGGUCAUUGGAAACUGGAAAACUUGAGUGCAGAAGAGGAAAGUGGAAUUCCAUGUGUAGCGGUGAAAUGCGCAGAGAUAUGGAGGAACACCAGCGGCGAAGGCGACUUUCUGGUCUGUAACUGACGCUGAUGUGCGAAAGCGU